This 90-nucleotide transfer RNA is filed under the name Sphingomonas sp. RNAcentral's name for it is "tRNA-Ser". It matches the Rfam family "tRNA". From Rfam's summary of the family: Transfer RNA (tRNA) molecules are approximately 80 nucleotides in length. RNAcentral also lists the same sequence under 1 other name. Lineage: Bacteria; Pseudomonadati; Pseudomonadota; Alphaproteobacteria; Sphingomonadales; Sphingomonadaceae. The record is from RNAcentral.
GGAAGAGUGUCCGAGUGGUUUAAGGAACCGGUCUUGAAAACCGGCGAGGGUGCAAGCCCUCCGUGGGUUCGAAUCCCACCUCUUCCGCCA